AGGUGAACGAGUGAAACGUGGUCAAGGAACUCGGCAUAAUGAUCCCGUAACUUCGGAAGAAGGGAUGCCAGAGAGGGUGUAGGGUACACCGAAGCUCUCCCUGGUCGCAGCGAAUCGGCCCAAGCGACUGUUUAGCAAAAACACAGGUGUGUGCCAAGCCGCACAAGGCGCCGUAUACACACUGACGCCUGCCCGGUGCCGGAAGGUUAAGGGGAGAGGUUAGCCGCAAGGCGAAGCUUUGAGCCGAAGCCCCGGUAAACGGCGGCCGUAACGAUAACGGUCCUAAGGUAGCGAAAUUCCUUGUCGGGUAAGUUCCGACCUGCACGAAUGGCGUAACGACUUGGGCACUGUCUCGACCACGUGCUCGGCGAAAUGGCAGUCUCGGUGAGGAUUCCGAGUCCCCGCGACAGGACAAAAAGACCCCAUGCACCUUUACUGUAGCUUGUCAUUGGUCGUUGCACAUCGCUGUGUAGCAUAGGUGGGAGGCGUUGAUCCGUGGGCGCUAGCUUACGGGGAGCCAUCAGUGAAAUACCACCCUGCGUCGUGCGACGCCCUCACCACGGCGGGAACACCCCGUCUGGGACCGUGGCAGGUGGGCAGUUUGACUGGGGCGGUCGCCUCCGAAACAGUAACGGAGGCGCGCGCAAGGUUGGCUCAGCGCGGACGGUACUCGCGCUUCUAGAGUGUAACGGCAGAAGCCAGCCUGACGGUGAGAUCGACGGAUCGAGCCGCCACGAAAGUGGGCCGUAGUGAUCCGGUAGCCCGGGGUGGAGCGGCUAUCGCGCAACGGAUAAAAGGUACGCUGGGGAUAACAGGCUUAUCGCGCCCGAGAGUUCACAUCGACGGCGCGGUUUGGCACCUCGAUGUCGGCUUAUCACAUCCUGGGGCUGGAGAAGGUCCCAAGGGUCCGGCUGUUCGCCGGUUAAAGUGGUACAUGAGCUGGGUUCAGAACGUCGUGAGACAGUUCGGUCUGUAUCCGUCGUGGGCGUUGGAGAGUUGAGGGGAGCGGACUCUAGUACGAGAGGACCGAGUCGGACGACCCGCUCGUGUCCCGGUUGUCCUGCCAAGGGCACCGCCGGGUAGCGAUGGUCGGCUGUGAUAACCGCUGAAAGCAUCUAAGUGGGAAGCACGCCCCAAGAUGAACUCUCCCGAGGCCUUGAGCCUCUUGAAGGGCCGGGGAAGACCACCCCGUCGAUAGGCCGCCCGUGGACGUCCCGCAAGGGAUUCCAAGCGCAGCGGUCCUAAUCGCCCGUAUGGCUUGACUAC
RNAcentral lists this ribosomal RNA (1266 nucleotides) under metagenome. Its description in RNAcentral is "bacterial LSU rRNA". It matches the Rfam family "Bacterial large subunit ribosomal RNA", at positions 1684 to 2925 of the family's 2925-position model. The record is from RNAcentral.